UACGUAGGGGGCAAGCGUUGUCCGGAUUUAUUGGGCGUAAAGAGCGUGUAGGCGGCUAGGUAGGUCCGUUGUGAAAACUCGAGGCUCAACCUCGAGACGUCGAUGGAAACCAUCUAGCUAGAGUCCGGAAGAGGAGAGUGGAAUUCCUGGUGUAGCGGUGAAAUGCGCAGAUAUCAGGAAGAACACCCGUGGCGAAGGCGGCUCUCUGGGACGGUACUGACGCUGAGGAGCGAAAGCGUGGGGAGCGAACAGG
This 253-nucleotide ribosomal RNA is filed under the name uncultured bacterium. Its description in RNAcentral is "partial 16S ribosomal RNA". It matches the Rfam family "Bacterial small subunit ribosomal RNA", at positions 524 to 776 of the family's 1533-position model. The record is from RNAcentral.